Molecule: non-coding RNA, 1310 nt
Organism: Salmo salar (Atlantic salmon)
Lineage: Eukaryota; Metazoa; Chordata; Actinopteri; Salmoniformes; Salmonidae
Source: RefSeq, a predicted model, not a curated record
UUGACACGGGUACUAAUCACGUGACUUUUGUUGACACGCUGACCGAGUAAAAAAAGUAAUUUAGCGGUGUUUGUUUCUGUAUCUAAGCAGAGUAGUUUAGUUGAUGUCAAACAUACGAUUAUCUGUGAUAGUUGUGUAGCUAUUUGAACGAUUGGUACAAUCUGAAACACCUGCUGUCCGUGGUCGAUUCGUCUGAUCCCCAGUCCAAAUGUUAACUAGCUAGCACUGUGAUAGCUAGUUAUGGUUUUAUAUUGUUUAGGUUGCAACCAGUCUUUCUGACAUGGCGUCGCCUGCACCGGGAGUCCAGAACAAGAACCGUGUUGCCAUUUUGGCUGAUCUGGACAAGGAGAAGAGACACUUGAUACAUAACUCAGCCAUGAAUAACCCUGGAGCUAGACCUGCCCUGAAUAAAGCCUUCAGAGACCACACUGAGCAGCAGCGCAUCGCUGCCCAGCAGGAAGCAGCUCUGCAGCAUGCCCAUGCACACUCUUCUGGUUUCUUCAUCACUCAAGACUCGUCCUUCGGGAACCUCAUCCUCCCAGUGCUGCCACAACUAGACCCACCUUUACCAGCAGAAUAACAGAACCUUAAACAGGGCAGAAAGACCCAACGGGCUAAAAGCAGCAGGUGGCCAUGGUGUUACAGAUCAGCUGUUGUCGAAUGGCGUCGAUUCAACAUGUAGAAUCGUCGAGAAAAUUAACUGAAAUUGGCGGUCGAUAUUCCGGUCAGAGGUGAUAUGAAAUUGUAGGGCACCCGCUGCGUUUCAAGACAUUUAGCGGUUAGCUACUCUGGGUUUACCUUCCCUUCCACCACCAUGGAGACAUGGUGGAUGUGACAAAUGGAGAAUUUUUUGUUAACUUUAAAACUGCCUGUUUUUUUUUUUAUUGGUUUUCCUUAUGAAAAAUGAAUAAAAUUCCACAAUGCUGCUGCCGGCAACAGUUUGGGUCUGACGGUACGUCCCUUUCAGACGGUGAAGCAUUGUCCCAUGUACUACCAUUACUUUACCUCAAUUCCACCUCCCAAAGUUUGCUUUUCCUUCUCAAAGUAUUACCAUAAAGGACUUUGCUGCGGGCGCUUGCCUUUGACAUUUUUACAACUGUUAACGACGGUGAUGUAGUGGUGGAGAGUCGACUCCAAAAUAUUUGAUUCCUCGACUCCUUGCACACUCCCAUUUCUUCGUGUCAAGGAAUCGACUCCUACGAUUCAGUAUUUUUUUGAACGGAGGAGAUUGAUUUAGUUGCUGUACUUCCGAGAACAGAAACACUUGCAUCUUUCAUAGCGAGCGACGGAGAGGCACGUCAGCCACCAGA